UACGGAAGGUAGCAGUGGGGAAUAUUGCACAAUGGGCGCAAGCCUGAUGCAGCCAUGCCGCGUGUAUGAAAAGGCCUUCGGGUUGUAAAGUACUUUCAGUCGUGAGGAAGGUGUUAAGGUUAAUAACCUUAGCAAUUGACGUUAGCGACAGAAGAAGCACCGGCUAACUCCGUGCCAGCAGCCGCGGUAAUACGGAGGGUGCGAGCGUUAAUCGGAAUUACUGGGCGUAAAGGGCACGCAGGCGGUUAAUUAAGUUGGAUGUGAAAUCCCCGGGCUUAACCUGGGAAUGGCAUUCAAGACUGGUUAGCUAGAGUCUUGUAGAGGGGGUAGAAUUCCGAUGUGUAGCGGUGAAAUGCGUAGAGAUGUGGAGGAAUACCGGUGGCGAAGGCGGCCCCUGGACAAAGACUGACGCUCAUGUGCGAAAGCGUGGGGAGCAAACAGGGAUUAGAUACC
This 453-nucleotide ribosomal RNA is filed under the name uncultured bacterium. Its description in RNAcentral is "bacterial SSU rRNA". It matches the Rfam family "Bacterial small subunit ribosomal RNA", at positions 340 to 786 of the family's 1533-position model. The record is from RNAcentral.